CCUACGGGAGGCAGCAGUGAGGAAUAUUGGUCAAUGGGCGAGAGCCUGAACCAGCCAAGUCGCGUGAGGGAAGACGGUCCUAUGGAUUGUAAACCUCUUUUGCCGGGGAGCAAAAAGCGGUACGUGUACCGCAUCGAGAGUACCCGGAGAAAAAGCAUCGGCUAACUACGUGACAGCAGCCGCGGUAAUACGGAGGAGUGGAGCGUUAUCCGGAUUUAUUGGGUUUAAAGGGUGAGCAGGGGGCCGAUUAAGUCAGCAGUCAAAUUUUGGGGCUUAACCCCCGAAAGCCAGUUGAAACGGGCUUGCUUGAGUGGACGAGAGGUAUGCGGAAUGCGUGGUGUAGCGGUGAAAUGCAUAGAUAUCACGAAGAACUCCGAUUGCGAAGGCAGCAUACCGGCGCCCAACUGACGCUCAGGCACGAAAGCGUGGGUAUCGAACAGGAUUAGAUACCCCAGUAGUC
Molecule: ribosomal RNA, 460 nt
Filed under: uncultured bacterium
Lineage: Bacteria
Description: partial 16S ribosomal RNA
Rfam family: Bacterial small subunit ribosomal RNA
Source: RNAcentral